GAUAAAGAAAUGGAGCCCUCGAGAAGUUAAGCAGUUUGCCCAAGAUCAUACAGCUGCAAUUUGUAUUGCAACAAAAUUUGUGACCUGCCUAAAUUUUCACCAUCAUUCAUAUUUCUGUCACACUCUGGAUCCUCCAUCUACCAAAAAUGAAUAUAGUGACAUGGCCACGCACCUGAGGAAUCCUUUUACUUCCCACAGGAGGAAGAGAAUUCCUCAAAUCCCACAAAGGCAACUCUUCUUCCUGAAGACAGCAGCUUUGCCAGUAAUGAGGGCAACAUUCCCAAUACAGGGUCUCAUUCUGUCACCCAGGCUGGAGUGCAAUGGCGAG
RNAcentral lists this long non-coding RNA (328 nucleotides) under Homo sapiens (human). RNAcentral describes it as "HSALNT0304496". The record is from RNAcentral. Lineage: Eukaryota; Metazoa; Chordata; Mammalia; Primates; Hominidae.